GACGAACGCUGGCGGCGUGCUUAACACAUGCCAGUCGAACGGACAGGCCCUGCUUUUGUGGGGUGCUCGAGUGGCGAACGGGUGAGUAACACGUGAGUAACCUGCCCUUGACUUUGGGAUAACUUCAGGAAACUGGGGCUAAUACCGGAUAGGAGCUCCUGCUGCAUGGUGGGGGUUGGAAAGUUUCGGCGGUUGGGGAUGGACUCGCGGCUUAUCAGCUUGUUGGUGGGGUAGUGGCUUACCAAGGCUUUGACGGGUAGCCGGCCUGAGAGGGUGACCGGCCACAUUGGGACUGAGAUACGGCCCAGACUCCUACGGGAGGCAGCAGGGGGGAAUAUUGCACAAUGGGCGGAAGCCUGAUGCAGCAACGCCGCGUGCGGGAUGACGGCCUUCGGGUUGUAAACCGCUUUCGCCUGUGACGAAGCGUGAGUGACGGUAAUGGGUAAAGAAGCACCGGCUAACUACGUG
RNAcentral lists this ribosomal RNA (468 nucleotides) under uncultured bacterium. RNAcentral describes it as "partial 16S ribosomal RNA". It matches the Rfam family "Bacterial small subunit ribosomal RNA", at positions 28 to 507 of the family's 1533-position model. The record is from RNAcentral.